UUGUGUGACAUUUCCUAGAGAGGCA
This 25-nucleotide non-coding RNA is filed under the name Rattus norvegicus (Norway rat). The record is from RNAcentral. Lineage: Eukaryota; Metazoa; Chordata; Mammalia; Rodentia; Muridae.